UAUAUAUGGAAAAAAAAAAAUAUGAGGAUUCCUAUUGCCAAAGAGCAAUGUAAGAAUUUGAGAUGCUGUGCUGCCUCAUACAGAGCUGGGUUCACCCAGUAAGGAUAGCAUACAAGGGAUUUGCAUCUUUUGGCCUUAGGAUUUGUGAAUCAUGUAUUUAUUUCAGUAGAAUCGAUGAAGAAAUCAUUUGUUCAAUGACAAUUCAAUAGUAAAUGGGGAAAGGGAUUCUUAAAUAUGGAUGAACAAUGACUGUUGAUUCAGUAUGAGUUACAACAAUGAAUUCCAUAUAGAAGAGAAUCUUGGCAAUUGUCUGUCUUUCAGGUAGGUUAUCUCAAGGUUGAUUUUACCUUUCUGCUUUGUACUUCUCAGGAUGACCCUCAUACUUCUCUGAGAAGCUCCAAGCUCCUAUGUGUUGAAGGGGAACAGAGGCAAUGCAGUACUAUGUGGUUCUGUUCAAGACAUCCAGUGCUGCUAUCGGUAAGUAGCAACUGAAAUCAAAGAAUGCCAACAGUGACCAAUGAAACUAUUGAUAUGAAACAAUGAUUUGAUUAGGUUUAUUAUUUGGUUUUAUAAUGAAAAUGACUGAUAACCAUAAUGCAUUCAAUGACAUAAGCAAUCCUGUAAGGAUAUUUUAGGGAUAGCUAUAGAUCUUUCCCUCCCUUAAGAUGUAUGGCUCAUAGGCUACUGCUCUUAGGUUAAUGCCAUUAAAGAAGUGAAAAAUAAAUUAGUAAGCAACUGUAGAUUUUUAUAUGAAACAGGAAGUGCUGUAUACUUGCUGCGAUCAUUUGCAAAUGAUCUAGUAUAUAAAAAUCUAAUUCUUUUAGUUCUGGUGGGCUGGUUUCUUUUUCUCAUUUAUUGAUAUAUUUUAAUAGUAUGUACAAUCUAAACAUAAAUGGCCCAAAGUCAUGAAUGGUAUCAAAUCUUAUCUCAAGUAUUAAAUCAUUAUAUUUCCAGACUGAACCCCAUAAAACCCCAAAACAAACCUUUUCUAUUUCCUUUAUCAGAAAUGAAGCUAUUGUCAGAUAACAGGAGCAUUGGGUAGACUUGUUUUGGGCCUUGGCAGCUUGUUGCUAAGUGCUAAUGUGUCCUAAGCAAAUCAAUAAACACAAGUGCUGUGAAUGAGGAUGGAUGAGCCAGCUAAAGUGCAGCCUCGUUAAGAGCUUGUUUACUGGAGCUGGGUUUGUUAUUUUGUAUCUCUACCACUGCUGUCUGUGGAUAAAAAUAGAAGUCUGUAACCCACGUCAGCAGCCAGCUUAUAACAGAUGCUUCAGUUCACUGUGUCUCUGUCCAAUGGGACUUUCUAUGCUUCUGACCUUUAGCAAGUUAGUAACAGGUACGCAAAUAUCCACAUUUAAAAAAAAAUUAAAGAAAGGAAAAUGUCCUAGGUAUGUACCAAGGGUGAGUACAUUUAAUACCAUGUAUUACAUACUAAUCAGAGUCUGAGUUAAAAAGAAAUCAAGGUUCCUCAUUUGUUUAUAUAACUACAUUGUUUCAUUUUAAACUACCCAUUUAUUCCAUGUUUCUGCCUUAGCAGAUCUGUGUCCCAGAUAUUUAAAGUUUAUAAUAGACACAUACUAAGCACAUUAUGAUACAUAGAGACAAGUGUCUAAAGCAAAUUAAACAGGGAUAGUGUAUGGUCAAUGGGAUGCUUAUGUUCUUCUGCCUUUUACAUCUAUUCAGUAGUGUCUGUAGUCAGUGUGAUAGAAAUUAUCCUAGUUAGUUCCAAGGAUGGCACCAACCAUUGCAAGGAGCUGCAAGGUCCCUGCCUUCAUCUUGGUUGUCUGUUUAUGGUGUCCACUAUGGUGUUAAAGUCACUGGUGUACUCAGGAAUAUGUCAUGGCUAAAUGUCCUUAUCCUGGGUCGGUUGUGAAUUUCAAGCUGUCAGUUUUAGUAUAAAAAGAAGUCAUUAAAUAAUUAUUUGUAGGAGAAAAGCCUGAUAUAUACUAGAUGGAAUAUAUUUUUAUAAUAUCUUGAAACGUUUUUCUUUUAAUAUUUUGUACAACGAUAGUAUCUUGGAUGAGGUAGAGGAGCAGCCAACACCCUUCCUCCAUAGAAGUUUUCACAUAUACUCACUGAGUGCAUUCAAAUUGUCCAACUUACUCUAGAGACCCGAUGUCCAGAAACGCAGUCUAUCUAAAUAAAAGAUUACAUUCGUGACCCAUUAGCAUUUCUCAUUCCACUCAUUAUCAUUUCUUAUAAAUUCACCUGGCUUUUCCCUCUCACAUCCUCCUUUAUUUACAUGUCUUGAGUGCGUGAGUGUUUGUGCUUGUGUGUAAAAGUUUAACACAUCCUCCAAACAUUCUGUAAGAGGUAAAUGUGCUUAGUAUAUAAGAUAUUAUAGAAGAUAACUACUUUUGUUGUGGAGCGAGAAUUCAGAGAGGUACAUACUGGUCAGUGUCAGUGAGCUAAUGCUGCAUCCUGCUGUCAGUAGGAUGAACAGAUUCCACAGGGAAGGACAAGGGACCCAACUGUGUUUAUGACCAAGGAGUCCAUGACCUUCCGAUGUGCCUACCAAGCAGGGAUUUGCAUGUUUGUCUCUGGGGAUGAAUACACAGAUUUUGGUAAUAUCUGAGGUCCAUCCUUUCAGGUUCUAUUACAUCAUAGGUUUGAUUUUGUUCUUAAAAAUCAUCAAAUGGAAGAUGAAAGAAAUGACACAGUGUAUAAAAUGAAGGUCACGAGAUUUGGGCAAGCAUGAUAGUCCACAGUGAGAUUAGGGUUAGUAUUAACGUGUGUUAGGCCCUGGACACCCACUAAAGCGUGGAAGAGGCUGCCUUUGGGGAUAUGGGUAAGUGUUUGAGACCUCACUAUUUGGAAAUGCUUAGAGGAAGAAAAGGGAAGAGAGAAUUAUGUAAUGUUACAAUAUGAAAACAUACAAGAAAUAAUUUCUCAAAAAAUAAAAGAUAGAGAGAAAAGACAUGAAAUAGUCAGGGUUCUUAAUUUGGGUCCAUGAAGAGUUCAUGGACCCAAACAGUAUUCAUAAGCUUGCUUAAGAAAAACAACACAAUCAAAUAAAAUAAAACAAUCAGAAAACAAAACCAAAAAAAAAAUAUCACAAAAUAAUAAAUACUAAAAUGACUAACACUGAUAUUUGAAAGCCAUUUGUUAAUGAAAUGUUUGUUAAUAGGGGAUGUAUUUUUUAUUUGUUUGUUUGUUUUAAUUGUUGUUUCUUUCAGACAAGUUCUCACUAUGUAGCUCUGGUAGGCUUGGCACUAACUCAGUAUGCAAACAAAGCUGGUCUUGACCUCAUAGAUCCACCUAUGCCUCCUGGGUGCUGCGAUUAAGUGCCAGUACCCUUGGUGUCUCUCAAUAUUUUAUUAGCAUCAUUUUACAUGUGCUUCAGAAUAAAUGCACUAAGCUCACUAAGGGAGGGCCCUGAAAUCUCGUGCAGGGAAGACAAAGAUGCAAAUCAUUCUGUGGCAAUUAUUUCUAGUAUUCAGAGGUGGGUAUUUAUUAUUGUUUACCGGCUGGAAAAGUAACAGAUAAAUGUAGAAAGGGGAGAGCAAGGAAUGAAGUCCUGACCCUGAAUGAUGACUGUGGCUGAGUAUCUGUACCAUGAGUAAUGAAUAAUUCAUGUCAGAAAAUCUGGUUUAGUUCAGACAGAGAUUGGUUGUACUAGCUUUGCUGGGACUAAUCCUGUGGAGACUUGAGCUAUCCCAAAUGUCGUGUUCUUUGGAAUUUGUGCUUCAUGAAUUUUGAUUGUUAUUACAAAAAAAAAUCAGUGACCAAAUUUACACUUUGAUUAAAUAAAAAAAAAAAACAGGAUGAAGGAGUGGUAAGAAAUAUUUUUAAUAUAACUUGCAAAUUUGUCCCUGUGUCAGUGUUCUGGGGAGCUGUCCCAUUGCCCAGUGUUGCACAGACAGGUGGACAUCAUAGCCAGAACUGUUGUUCUGAGUCAGUGAUUUGUACCCUGUUAGUACUGAUGGUCGUUGUUGCAAGAGGAGAAGUACUAAGGCUUUACACAUUAAUUUUUUUCUUAUUAUGGGUAGGUAUUAAAUCUUGGAUUUUUCUUAAGAGAAAAUAUAUGUUAUAAAACAUUAAUAAAUGUGUGGAUUGGAGGAGGAAAAUCUCCUUAGUGCUCUCUUUCAUCUUCCCAGGUUCCUUUGCUGUCAGAGCUUUUGGCCUCUCCCUUGGCACAGGCUCAUUUGAUGCCAUAUUCUUAGCACAGGUAUAGAGGGUCAUGAAUGCAGCCAACCCGCUCUGUCUAGUUUGUGUAGUUUGUCUCCUGGUGUUCACUAUAGUCUUGCACAGUCUCAGCACAGAGCUGAGAUCUACAAUUUGUAAUGAAGUGAAAAGAAUGGGUUAUUCGGUUCCUAGGCAGGUGGACACAAGAUAAUUAGUGAGACAUAAACACUGAUGUGAGAUGUUUCUUGAAAGAGAAUGAGAAUAGCAAAGCUUUUCUUACAUUUGUGAAUAUAACACUUGAAGUUAGCAUUAGCAAUUUAGUGUCUCAAUGAAUAAGCAAUAUAGAAGCAAAUGAAAAACAGAAAGAGCCAGGUCUAUCCUGACCACCAGCGGUGGCCUGUGGUACAUGCAUGCCUGAAACUGAGGUCCACAAGAGGAAACCUGAUCCAUUUCUUCCAUUUUAACUUGUUUCUGUAAUAGAAUUCUGUAACGGAUGAUUUCAUGGUUACAUAUUUUUAUUUUAACCCUUUUUCACCAUAGGAUUAAUGGGAAAAAUCAAUUAGGUAAAUUAAGUAAGGUUACAUCAAUUCCACAGUGUUCGGGGAAAUUAUAUUAGUAUAUACUGAAGAUGGCUAUUCCAAAGGGAAAUAAAUGGAAUGUACUUUUGACCACAUGGUUAAUGAUGGCCUAUAUGUCACACAUAAGUAGAGAGACAGUGUUCUUCAUCAGUUUCGAGUUUAAAAUUGUUCAUAGUAUUAAAAGUGAGAGAAAUGUACCCCAAAUGAUACUAAGGCAAAAUUAAGAAGAAAGGAUACAUGGUAGAAACAUCUCAGCUUCUUUAUCUAGUCUCUGCUCCAUACUCAAAAAUAGCCAUACUGUGAGAGGAGGGUCCUCCAAGGUUAGCGAUUCUGUACCAUGCUGAGGACAGUGAUACCAAUGUCAACUGAAGACUUCAUGGCUUGGAUUGGGUGGCUUGAGGAAUCAUUGACCAAGUGGCUAUUGUGUUGCUAUUGAUGGCCAACUGAAUACCAGUGGUACAAAUAGGCACUGCAUGAACAUUUUCAUUCAUAAUAAAAAUAUGGAAAUAAUCAUGAAUUAAUGAAAUGGUAGGUCAAUGUUAGAGAGAGGGUUCAUGAAUAGAUUAGCAAUAAUACCUAUAAUAAUAAUAGCCCCUGCUCACCUUUGGGGAGGGUAUUGAUCAUAAGGGUUAUAAUUAUAAUUAAUUGUUCAAUAUGAAAAGUAGAAAUGUUAUAGAAAGGAGGACUCAAUCCUAGACAAUUGUGGAUCAAGGCUGCCAUAUGAGGCCUAGGCAGUGCUCUCUGGGCCCAGCUUCAUGCCCAGUUUUCGAUACUUCAUUCAAUAAGAUAGAAUGUAUUUGUUUUUAGUUUACAUGUUCAUUUAUUUCCAUCCUGUUAGUUUGAAAGCAUUGAUCCCUGGAUAGAAAUAACUUUUGGACUUUCAUGUCUUCUUUGGCUAGCAAUGAGGUAGACAGUAUAAUUAAUAGCUAAUAAUCAAUGUCUGGGUCAAAGAGAAAAGCAACAAAGGGCCUCCAAAUAAUGACCACCCGAAGGAAGGACAAUAAGCAAAGCCAAAGUUGAUUAGGCCAUCCUUUAAUGAGCUGCUCUGGUUUCGUGUCCUGGGCCUGGAUGCCCUGAGCUAGGGGAUGCAUCUUUCCAUGAGCUUGAGCUCCAUGGUGACCAUGUCAUGUGUCAGAAGCAUGAAAUGCUUCUUAAUAAUAACCACUGUGAUGGUUUUGACUUUCGAAAAGCAUUAAAGUUAACUAAAGAAACUGAAGUGUGCCUGUGGUAAACAUUAGACUUGAAUUAUAUAUUGCACUGAGUCCUUUAUAUGAGCUCCUGAGCUUGAUUUAUACAAUACAUCUGGACUCUCUGGAAGCAAUUAUUUAGGACCAUCCUAGUGGUUGUUCAAGAGUUUACUUUUUAUUCCAUUUAUAUGUGUUUUUAUAAGCUAUGAAACAAUCAACAAGCUAAUGUGCAGUAGAGAGAGAAUGCCAUUUUGGUUGUCACCUUCCUAAGUAUUCCACACUCAAGCACUUUCCUGUGACUCAGUACCCAGGAUCCCCCUUGACCUCCUGUGCCUCCCACCUCGCCUGGCCCUCAUAACCACCAGUCUGCUCUUGUCUUGCUUGGGAUCAGUUUCCUUGCAAAUGGACUCAUGCCCCUUCUUGUGCUUGAAUUAUUUCUCUUAAUUUCAUUAAUUCCAUCAUCCUUUUUUUUAAUAGUUUAUGUCUAAAUAAGAUCUGAUUAGGGCUUAGUACUUUAGUACCUUGACCAUGCCCAAGUUGUUAGAUUCCCACUCACACACAUUUCAGUAGCAAUAAUUUUAGACUCCAAAUGUUAUAUUAAAAAAAAAAAAGAAGAAGCUAUAAAGUUACGAGAGACACAAGGUUCAUCCCAGAGUGAGUAGGGUGUUGCUUAUGAACAAAAUACAUUGUAUACAUGUAUGAAAUUCUCUUAGAAUAUUUAAAAACUUUUACAUCCAUAAUAAUAUAGAAACUGAAAAAAAUACUUAUCAGAAAGAGAAGCCAUACUUUAAUUUAGAGUGUGAAGUGGCCUCUGGGCCCCUUUGGAAGCCAGUGAGGUCAGUGUGUUAUGCAUCAUCCUGAGCUUAGGAACCAUGUUUAUUGAUAUAUUUUAAUUUAUAGUUUAGAGUAAAAAUAGAAAUGCUGUAAUUAAAAAGGCAAACAUGAACCAGUGAUGGUGGCUGCUGUCAAUUUGAAUAAAAUAUGCUUGGACUCUGGAGUCAAAUGCAAAAGACAUACAACUCAUCGCCUCAUGAGACAGAGUAUUCAAGAAAGGUUUGGCGGUAUCCAAGGAUCUUGAUCCUGGCCUUUGUGUCAAAAUUAGAUGAAUGAGCAUGUCAGUCAUUCAAUUAAUGAAAUACUGUCUAACUACAAAAACACAGGAACAUUAUAGUGUGUUAGGAAACCAUUGCAGUCCAGGUUUAACCAUCCUGACUCUGUCACCUGUUUUCGUGGCUAAAACUAAACUCAUCCUCCGCUACUGUAGACAGCACGUGUUGGAGCCUUUAUUAUAAGUUGGGUGUGGUGCUAUGUAAAAUCAGUUUCUAAUUUAAAUAGGCAUCAUACGGUAAAUGCCAGUGUUCUCAGGAUAUGGAAAAUUUCAAAUUCUCUUUUUUGUAGAAGAAGUUCUUGUUCUCGUUUCUCAACCUGUGGGUUGCAACCCCUUUGAGGAUGGAUCAAAUGACCUUUACACAAGGGUUGCAUAUCAAAUAUUUAAAUUACAGUUCAUAACAGUUAUGAAAUAGUAACAAAGUAAUUUUUUUGGUUAGAGGUGUCAUGUGAACAUGUGGAACUGUUUUCAAGGGUCACAGCAUUAGGAAAAUUGAGAACCACUGCUCUAAGCUAAAUGUCAAGUUAAAGACAAGUAGGUAUAGUGUCUCUAUUUUCUCUGAACACUUUUUUUAAAUCAUGUGUUCUUUUUCCUACUGGUCCUGAUGGAAUUCUCCAUGGAAGAGUCUUCUCUGCUCUAUCUCUGUUGGGAGCCUGGAGGAUGAUGUAAGUAAUAUUUCUAAUUCCUCCUUUGCUUGAGGUGGUUUAUUUAGGGAGAAUGCACUGUAUUUUUUAAUUUUUAUGGUGUAAUCAUGUAAGAAACUGAAGCCAUGUUUACAUCUUAGAUAAUGAUGAAUAAUUAUACUGAUUACUAUUAUAUAUGAAGAGCUAAGGAGAAUUAACUGAAGACAUAUUUUGACCCAGACAUCAUUCUGGAUUACAACCAGCCAUGUUCCUGUUGGGUUUUUCCAAUCAUAGGCUUUUAGAAACAUUAUUAGUUACUCGAUAUACUGGUUAAUACACAGAAUAGAAAGAAAUGAAGGGGUACUGAGCCUUCCCUAGGUGACAGCUGUCAGAGCAUGAGUUCCAGCUGAAUGCCAUGUGGUUACAGCUCUGAGAUCCAACCAGAUGGAUAUGCUAAUAAGCAAGGUGAGUGUAGGUUUCCAUCCUCUGCUCUGAUCACUACUCUUCUGAAUGGAUGUUUUAGCGAGGAUGGAUUCUUCUCUGCCCCUCUCCUUGUUGCACACAUCCUUUCUCUUCACGGUGAACAAAAGUUAAGAUUUUUUUUUGCUGUAUUUUCCCACAGGUUGAUAGAAACAUUUAGUCAUUAUUCUAUACAUGUCACCAAAAGAUGUAGUGGUUGACAGGUUUAAUCUGUUAGGGACCUUCAUGCAUAUCAUUUUUUCCAUUGUUUAGUUUAUAUUUUUUUCUCUGUUAAUGAAACAAUCCACAAAGCUAGAAUGUAUUGUGAAUGGCGAUCUGUAGCCUCCUGAUAGCUGUGGCAUGUGAAUCACACAUGUUGAACAUCAUAUGUCUAGGACUCUGUGAUCUAUAACAAACGGAUAGGUCCUUAUUUAAACUUGGGUCCUAUGUUCAAGUAUCCAUUACAAGGAUCUCAUCUUUGUGUUCCUUUGUUUAAAUAUUAUCAUAAAAUAAUCAAUGCAGUUUCCACAAACAAAUGUAUGUAUAGAAAUUACAAAUGUCAAAAUUUGCUCAUUAUGAAAAUAUACAACUAGCAUGUAGGUAUUAGGAUUUCUAAUGAAGUCUCCCUAUAUAGACCAGUCUGGCCUCAGAUUCUCCACCCCGAUGUGUAGUUCAUUCAAGUGCUAGAAUUUUACUCAUUAUUCACUAAGCCUGUAACAAGAGAAAUUGUACUGGACUAAAGAUGAUGCAGACAAGUCAUUGUCAAUCAUUAAACUAUAUCAAUUAUACUGUCCAACUCCUGCUUUGUCCUCCACAGAUGGAGGUGCGGAGCUCAGUAGGAAACUCUCUUAGUUGCUACUUCUUGUCAUGCUGUGUGUUUGUACUUUGAAUAACAGCCAAUAAUCUUAUUUUCCUUGUUUAAUUGAUUAAAGGUGCCCAUAGUGUUAAUUAUGUUUUUAAAAUCAUAAACUGAUGGCUUUAUCAGUUGAGUGAGGCUGGGGAGCUGAAGCAACUUGAAAGUACUUUUCUUCCUGCCAUUCUGCCUGAUACCAAACAGAAAUGAUCUUGCACAAAGUGAUGCCUGUGGGUGACUUGUUGCUUGCUUACUUUGUGUGAGUUUCCAGUCCAGACAACCAUGUCCAUUCCCUCAUCAUUUCCUCAUUAUCCGGAAACUCCACCAUCCUGUUCCCCAACCCUUUAAGAUAUUAAGAAACUAUCAUCUAGAGUUGCUCCACAAUAUAUACAUAAGGUCAUGGAACUGUAACUUUGCAACUUUUCUUCAUUUCUCUCUUCUCACUAUACCAUCUGGUAACUAUCACUCCACUGUCAACUCCCAGUAAAUGAACUCUUUUGUGUCCCACAUGAGUGAGACCAUAUUGUGUUUGUCUUUCUGUGCUUGGACUAUUUCCUUCGAUAUGAUCAUCUCCAGUGCCAGAAGAUUACUAAAAAUUAUAAACUACCAUUCUCCUUUAUGGCUGAAAGAACCUGACAUGUUUCUUAUAUCUCAAGCACUGCUUCUUAACCUCCCUAAUGCUGCAAUUCUUUUAUACAGUUUCUUGUGUUGUGGUGAACUCCCAGCCAUAACAUUAUUUUCUUUGCUACUUCACAACCAUAAUUUUGCUACUGUGAUGAAUCAUAAUGUAAAUAUGUCUGUUUUCUGAUAGUGUUAGAUGACCCCUGUGAGGAGUCAUUUGACCCCCAAAGGGGUCACAACAAACAGGUUGAGAGCCACUAAACUGAUCUAGACUAAAUAAGGAGCCAAAACUCAAUCCAAAAUCCAAAACAGUAAAUCAGGUUCAAUAGACAUAAGUAUGCAUGUCUCAAAAAAGAAGCAGAUAGAUAACCAAGAAGUCUGUGCAAGAAUGCUCAGUGUGAUCAAUCGCCAGAAAAAUGCAAACCCACGUCACACAGGAUAACCCCUUCCUCAUUCCAGUUAGGUAGAUUUUAUCAAGAAAGGCUAGUUCUAGCAACGGCUGGCAAUGUGGUAGAUAUCAAACAUUACUGAAGACAGCAUGCAGGGUCCUCGGGGUUGGGAGGGAGCCCUCAACAAACAGAAUUGUCUGAUAACCCAACCAACCCUCUAGUAGGUCUGCAUAUAUAGAAAAUGGUGGUGCCCUUGUCAUCUAUAUCUAUCUAUAUCUACAUCUACAUCUCUACCUAUCUAUAUCUAUAUGGCCUUCCAUGUUCUCUGCAGUAAUCAAUACAAGAUCAGACAGACUUGAGUAGGCAUCAACUGGUGAUUGGAAAAGGGAAUGUGCUAGAUAGCUGCCCCGGACACUGCUCAUCCACACAAAAGCCUAAUGAGAGAUUGAUUUCAGUUGUUGUGCUUCCUGAUGGAUCACUGCCACACUGAGGCCAAUUAACAAAAGAAAGCCUCCAGAGGGCUAAGAUUCUACAGACAGAUGUUAGCUUGUCAAGCAUCAUGUUCUUAAGAGUUUUGUGAACAGAACAAUUUUAUUGAUUAACUUUAAUUGGUAACUUAGAAUAACGUAAAUUCAAAUUAAAAAGCAAGAGGCCAAUGAUAAUGGCAGUUGGCAGUGAGUCUUCUCCACUGCUUGAAACAUAUCUGAAUGCUAAUAGGCAACAACAUGCAGAGACUUGCUGUUCUCAACAAAGGUCACUGACCUUUGACCCUCUCACAGUGACCACAUAUCAGAUGUUUAUAUUAUGAUUCAUAACAGUAGCAAAAUUUUAGUUAUGAUGUUGCAACAAAAUUAUUUUAUGGUAUGGGGUCAUGACAGUAUGUGGAAGUAUAUUAAAGUGUUCCAGCACUAGGAAAGUUGAGAACCCCGUGCUAAACAUAUUUAGGUGUAUCCAAGGACCUUGAGGCAGAUACCUGUGUUGAUAUAUCUUAAUUCUGUCAUUAGAAUUAAGCAGUAGAACUAUAGUUCAACCGAUAACUGAUGUAUUAAUCAAAUACAACCUGCAGUGAUUCAGAAGUGCUUUGAUAUGUUAUGCAAACAGUAAGGCACAGGGAGCAAUGGUCAUAACUCAACACACUCAUCCUCUGCUACUAUAGACAGCAGGUGUUGGAGCCUUUCUUAUCAACUGGGUUUGGCGCGAUGUUAAAUUGGUUUCUAAUUUAAAUCAUUUCAAUAUCUUUUGUUAAGAUUAGAACAUCCACUGUUAAAUUAAUGAGUGAAUAAGUCAAUUCAGAAAGAAAAGCUAAAAAUCAAAGAUCUGUGGAAAGACUACCCAGUUUUCAUCUUCUUUAUGCUCACCUGCUCUCUUUGUGUUCUUUCCAAUGCUCUCCCACCUGAGCUGGAGCUGGAAUUCUCCGUGGUCGGGGCUCAGUGGUGCAUCUCUCACUCGACCCUGUAAAUCAGUGUAAGUAAACAGGCACACAUCUUGUUUUGGUUUCCUAUAUAUUUUUUCUCUGUUUUAAAAGUAUGCAGUGAUAGAAGUUAUAGUGCACUCUUCUUGGGACUAUGGUGAAUAUUUUAACUUAGUAUAUGGUAUAAUGAAACACUAAGCUCAGUUAAUUAAAGACAGGGCAUUGUAUCCCAAAUAGUAUAUUCUUGUUACAUCUAUGUAUCUCUAUCUAUCUAUCUAUCUAUCUAUCUAUCUAUCUAUCUAUCUAUCUAACAAGACUAUAAUUAUAGAUACAAUAUAUAUUACAAGACAAGUAAUUUAACUAUAUUUAUGUAUGUGUGUGUGUGUAUAUGUGUGUGUGUGUGUGUGUGUGAUUAUGUUCCAAUGCAUUACUAGUGGAUUAGUAACUAAAUAUCAUAAGAGUGAAGAGAGAUUGGGCUUUCCCAGGAUAAGUGAUCAUAACUGUCAGUAUAUGAGACUCAGAUAAUAAAUACAAUAACUCUGAGGUCCAACAUAAAAGAUAAAUGUGUAGGAAUGACCUCUGGAGGAGGAACAUUUCUUAUUCCCUGCAUUGUUCUCUACUCCUCAGAACUACUGCUCCUAUGGAAUGAGGUUCCUGCAUAUUUCACACUUACCAGUUCAUCAAUAGUAUUUCUGGGUUAUGUACCUCUUCAUCUUGGAACAGAUAUAAAUAGUAGUUAAAGUUUUCAUGGUUUUGAUGGCAUUCAAUUCUAUACUUUGCAUUAGUGAAUAGUGUAAAAUCUAACCACAUGUUAUUUUUACAAUUCAUAUGAAGUAGCAUGUAGAGUCACACAUGUACCCUUGCCUACUUUAAUGUUAGUUUGUCAGAAGCACGUUAGUGAUUGGUCCAUGUAUUUGGCACUGAAGAAAGUCAUUGAGGAAUUUAGUUUCUAGCAGAAAAAAACAGAGAUGUGUAUUAGUGGCCCUUUGGGGUAUAGAUCACAGUUAUACCCAUGAUGGCAUUACUUGAAUCCAGGCUUUUUAGAAAAGAUUUUAGGGAAUGAAUAUAUUAACAAUGACUGUAGUUCACAUGGACUUGUGAUAUCUUAUUUAGAAUAGUGAUAAGCACACACAUAAUUUGGUCAUCCUCCAUUGAGUAGAUGUAUCAGCAAAUAAACUAAUCUAUAAUAAUACAGGUACUCCUUACAUGGUAGCUACAAAUGUCCAGAAAAGCUUUGGCCAGAACAAACUGGGUAUCUACACUGAUGUGGUUAUUACUCUACCUUAUAUGCUUCUGUUUAACUUGCAUUGUACAAUUUACAAAUUCCCAGUUUAAUAGUAAUUAAUGCAAAACUCAAGUAUAAAACAAUGAGAUCAGUAGAAAUCAGUCAAGUGGAAUUUAUCUGGAAUGGUUGGUGACCGCUGUUUGCAUGAGCAUGCCAGGCAACAGGAGCAGGUGCCCAAACCCUGGAUGUCCAACAGGAAAGAUAAGUGGGUAAUCAAGAACUAGGAAAGGAGGUGGCGUGCUUAGGCCUCUGCUACUUUGUCACACUCCCUAUGUCGCACAAGCAUUCCUAGGCUCAAGCCAUCGUCCAAGGUCACCAGCCUACGCAUGAGCUGGCUAAGUGGUAGAGCUUAGAGAGCAUGUGAGUCCUGGCUGUUAGUGUUCAUGCAGUUUAGGUGCUUUGCAUUAUUUAGCAGAGAGGAGUAAGGGGCAUAGAGAUGACUGUGUAGGGAAGGCCUGAUUACCAUAGUUGGAUACUUAGAAUCAGGUUGGAAGGAAGAACAGGGUUCCCUGAAACUGGCCUAAUACUUCCACAGCUAUCUCCCUCAACACAGAGAAUUAAGCAUCAUGAAAAUGAAUGUGAAAUAUGAUUGCAUUAGGCCAAAUGUGACCAAUGAAACAAAUUAAAUUAUCAUGAAUUAGACCAUUGAAUUGGGCAUGCCUGUAAAACCAAGAUUCAUCACUGAAGGAGAAUCGGCAUGAACUUUCUCUUUGUAUAAGAGGAGCUUCGGGCUUGUUUCAGUGUUUUGGAAAGAUUAUAGAGGUUUCCAUGGCUAUCAGUGAAGAAGUGAUUCAGUGAUCAGCCAAUAGAAUAAUGAAUGCAAGAGAUCAGAGCCAUACCAGAUCAGUUGGGAACACAGUGCUGUAAAUCCAAGAGGAUCCACAUCCCUGUCUCAGAGGGCCAUCCAGUAGCAGGAAUGCACGCCAUGAUACUUAUUUCACGUUUUAAUUCUCUGAAUAUCAAUCAAACAUUAAAUAAAUAUCUAAAAGAAGGAAGGAUUCUUCCAUGGAAACAAGGCCCAAGUGAAUCUUAUGAUUUUAUGUGAAAAUGGGGAAGUAUAAAUUGUAGAUGAUGUCUUUGUUCUUGGCUAGGUUGAAGUAGUUCAUGUUGUAAAACAUGAUUGUUAAAAGCAAAUUCUUACAAUAUUGAAGGCAGGGAAUCUAUGAUUCAUCAAAUAUAUAUGGAAAUUAGAGGGUAAGUAACAUGCAUUUUAAUAUAUUCAUGAUCGAUGAGUUCACCAUAUGAAUAAGUAAAGAUUGUUUGUAGAUGACAGAGAAAAGUGCCCGAAAAGAAAGCAAUGAUGAUAUCAUGUGAGUGCUGAAUGGUGACUAUGAGACAAACAGACGUUGGAAGUCAAGACACUGAGGACUUUACUGUCAAGUUACAGAUAUAGUCCCACAUAUACCACCUAUAUCUUGUGAAUCUUUGGUUCAUGGACUUGAGUUUACAUAAAGUUAUCAUGGAAAAUUGAGAAAUGUGAGUUAUUUGAAUUGAAGUCAGGUAGUUAAAAUAAGGUAUCAAAGUUAAAUAACAAUGGUAGCAAAUGCUAGAGAAGUCAUUUGAUAAUAAUACUACUCAAAAUAAAGGCUAGUGAGGAAUGUCUGGCUUGAAAUGGGGUCACCGUAGAUGAUUUGAAAAGCAGGGAAGCUUACCCCACUCCCUUACAGAGAAAACCUGUAAGCCAGUAGGAAUUGUGGACCAACCUAGAGAGCAAGUCUCAAUAUCUUUAUUUCCUUCUCUGCCUUCUACCCUCCAUAGAGAAGAUUCAAGUGAUCUUAAAGGUUUGCAGUGAUGGACAGUCCCUGGGAUGCCAUGGCAACAAUUCAGAGCUCAUGGUGACUUGACAGCCUCAGCUCUGAUCCUUCAGUGGGAACCUACUUAUAGGUAUGGAAGGUCAUAAAAAAACACCAAAACCUGGGUGAUUAAGCAGAGAAUGCAAAAAAGCUAAUCUACUUAACUUGAAUAUUAGGCAGUGAGGUGCCCAAGCUCCAACUCUGACCUCCUUUAGGCAACUGUUUAUAGGUAUGGAUGGUCUCAUUAUAAAAUAGGUGGUUAAGUAGACUAUGGAAAGAGUUAACUCAGUGCUAGCUUGAGGACAAGACAGUGUCAUGCCCCACCACAGGGUAGUUUCCUACAGUCUCCCAAGUAUACCACAGUAGCCCAGGAGUGAGCCAUUCCCAAAGGCUCAAGAGAGGGGAGCAGCUCAGGACCGAUGAUGAGAUCUGAUGGUGUCUGAGUGUUUCUCGAUGACAUGAACAGAUAUCUGAGGUCAGGCAAAGAACAACUACAACUGGGCUGCAUUUUGGUGUUUGCCAAUGGUCUAAGAAAAGUAACAAACUUUUGAAUGUUGCCCUGACUGCGACCUAUUUCCAUUAGGCAAGGAAACAUUGCUGGCAGAUUAGGCAAACUUUGGGCAGAGGGGUGGAUCCAUAGCCUGUGCUUACAGGCAGGGCAGCACAGCUUAAAUACUCCUGGGGAUAGGGCGAUGAGGUGCUGGCCCCAUGCAGGAUGUCUUAGUGUAGACAGAAGCCAGCCUAUUUUUCCCUGGGAAAUGGCAAGAAAUUACUCUCCUCUGGGGACAGAAAGUACAAUUACAGCCUAGGCAAAGCUCAUGAGCCUAGGUUCUGUAACUGUGCAGGGCACAGCAUGGUACCUCAUAGGAACUCAAAGACAUCUCUCCCUUCUCUCCCCUGUACUCCUAAGAAAAGCUGGCUUGACUGAUGGUACAAGUGUGCUCAGAACGAGAACCCACCUCAAUCUUCACUGUGACAUCCCUGAGCCCUGCUGGUGAGAGGCAGCAUUUUGAUCUUCCUUGGCCACCAGCUUGUAGGAAGGCGGCUAGUGAUGGUAGAGGUAUGCAGUGAUGGACAGUUGCUGGGUGCCAUGGCAACAGUCCUGAACCAAUGGUGACUUGACAGCUCCAGCUUAGAUUCUCCUGUGGUCAACUGCUUAUGGGUAUGGAUGGUCCCGUUACAAAAUAGGUGGUUUAAGUAGACUACCGAAAGACUUACCUCAGUGCUAGAUUGAGGACAAGACAAUGUCAUGUCCCACCCACAGGGUAGUUUCCUAUAGUGUGGUCUCCUGAGUGUACCACAGUAUCCAAGGGGUCUCAAAAGAAAGGAGCCCAACUCAAGACCGAUGAUGAGAUCUGAUGGUGUCUGAGUGCUUCUCGAUGACAUGAACAGAUAUCUGAGGUCAGGCACAGAGAAACCUCAGCUGUGCUGCCUUUGGUGCUAGCCUAUGGCCUAGGCGCAGGGAGAACAGGAUUACCCUAAUCAGUUUUCCUCCUGAAACAGACUGGUAUUGUUUAGGUUAGGAAAAGUGGCUAUAGGGAAAGUCGGGUUAAGUGGAUAAGACCAUGAGCCGUGCUUGUGUAGGGGAACAGCACAGCUUGGGACUCCAAUAGUCAUGUGGACAGACAGGGGGAUGACAGGCUCACCACAUGCCGGAUGACAUAGUGUAGAAGACAGAGAGACAUUUUUCCCGGGUGUUGACUAAAAACUAGACAGCUUUGGAAUCAGAAAUUACAGGUGCAGCCUAGUCAAAGCUUAAGUUCUCUAACUGGGGAGGAAAUGGGGUGGUGACCCACAGAGUCUCAACAAUGUCUCUCCCUUCUCUGCCCUGUACCUUCAGAAGAGCUGACCUGACAGACGGUACCAGCUUUCUGGUAUCUUGACCUGACUUUGUGUUCCCCUUGUGACAUCUGAGAGCUGUUCUGACUGAGAAGCGACAUCUUGAUCUUCCUUGGCCACCAGCUUGUAUGUAUGUGUUGCGGAGGGAGAGUGUUUCUGCGUUAGUGCAGUAGCAUCAGAGAGUUAGGCUAUUAGUGCAAUAGCUAGUCUUGAUUUCUCAGGGUUUCUAAUGGCUGCUCUUCAGGGGCUGCCACACAACAUGUUCUAAUACCCUAUGAUCUGAGCUCUGCCCUCAACACUCACUAAGAAAUAAAGGUGUGCAGUUGGCGAGGGAGAGAGGGGGCCCCCAUCCAGAACUGAUGAUGAGAUCUGGUGGCAUUUGAGUGAUACUCCAUGAACACCAAGUAUCCAGAAAUCUGAGGUCAGUCCUGAUGCCUUACUAAGAACUAAGCUGUGGAUGGAGGCCCGUAGGCAUAUGCCUCUGCCUUGUGGACCUGUGGUGGGAGUCGAGGGCUUGAGUGCUCUUUGGCCUUUUACUCAGAAUCAAGGCUGGGGCAGCUUGAGAUCUGCCCAUGGAAUUGGGUCAGAGGAUGCUUCAAAAUCUACUUUAAUUUGAGGGAAAGCCACACCCACUCCCUAUGAGAGAAAGCUUACAUGACAGCACCUUUGAAAUCUAAGAAUCCUGGGCUAUUCUUGGAAGCAAGCCUCAAUAUUUCUAAUCCUUUCUCUGCCUUCUAACAUCCAGAGAGCUGACCCAAGUGAUGGGAGAAGUUUGCAGUGAUGGACAGUUGCUGGGUGCCUUGGCAACAGUCGUAGCCAAUGGUGACUUGACUGCUCCAGCUCUGAUCCUCCUGUGUGGCACCUACUUAUAGAAAAGCUGACCCAACAGAUAUUACCAGCAUGCUGAGAUGUAGGACCAACCUGUUAUCAUCGCUGUGACAUCUCAGAGCUCUGCUGACUUCGAGGAGACAUCUUGAUCUUCCUUGGCCACCAGCUUGUAGGAAGGGGACUCUAGUGGUGGGAGAGGUUUGCAGUGAUGGACAGUUCCUGGGAUGCCAUGACAACAGUCCAGAGCCAAUGGUGACUUGACAGCUCUAGCUCUGAUCCUCCUGUGGGCACCUGCUUGUAGGUAUGGAGCAUUGUGGUUAAGCAGAGUAUGGAUAGACAGUGUUAACUUAGUGGUAGCUUGAGUACCAGGUAGUAGGAUGACACACUUGCCAAGGAAUGAGCCAGUUACGAGAGAGGGGAGCCCAGAACAAUGAUGAGAACCAAUGGCAUCUGAGUUUUUUCUUGAUGACAGUUAUGUCUAAAGAAAUCUAAGGACAGGUACAUAGCAACUUCAGCUGGCUGCUCUUCUUUAGCAAGCAAACAUGGCUGGCAGGUAGAUGAAGUUGGGUUAAAUUGUGUAGAACCUUAACCUUGCAUGGGGAACUCACAGCUUGGAAACUCGAAGGGGCAUGUUGGGAGAUUGGUGUGCUAAGAUGCCAACCCUAUGCAGGAUGCCAAAGCAUAGAGAGGUCCCAGCUCUUUUUCCUUUCAAAUGCCAAGAAAUUAGUCUUUUCUGGGAAGAAAAAGUACAGAAACAGCUCAGACAAACCCAUCAGCCUAGAUUACCUCACUGUGGAGGGCAUGACGUGACCCACAGACUCAACAAUGUCUGUCCCUUUUCUCCUUGGAUUUAUCAGGAAGGCUGACCUGGUUGACAGAGAACCACCACCCCGUCCCUGUAUGUCCCAAAUCAGCAUAUUGUCUCAUGUGGAGUCUGGUUCAAGGUCUUGACAGGUAUUUGUUAGUAAUUGUAAAAUUUACAUGCCCAUCGAUUGUGAAACCAAGUCAAUAAAGUGUAUUUCAGUAGUACAUGGGCUGUCAUUGAUAAGAUUCCUCAUAACACUUACACUAAGGGCGCAGUAUCCCAGUUUCAUAGAAUGACUUCUCUGGUGCAUGCCAGGAGUUGUCAGAAUUUUUCCCUACUAGCAGGACUUCUCAUUUUGUCUUUCUUUUUUGUUUUCUGCUUUUCAUUUUCCACAAUGGCUGAUGGAUUGAUAUCAUCGCAGAAGUAUCCUGUUGUAGAGACGUUCUCUGAUCUCACUUUCUACACCACUACAACUGGGCCUUGCUGGGCUGAUUACAGACUUUCCUAUUUUUAAUGACUUCAUCAAGGUAAACAUGGGUAAAAGUCAAACAUUUUUGUCUAUAUUUUGGUUAGCAUGUCUGUAUUUUUACAAAGCAUGAAAUAGAAUCCUAUAGGUCCACUCCCACAUUGUUAAUUGGGGUGAAGACGGGCUUGUGUACUGACUAAAUAUGAUGUCUGAGCAUGGUUGAUAGCACAUGUGUUCAUAUUGCUGUGGACAGUAAUCUGAAUGUAUCAGAGAGCUGCUCUCCUGUUGAAUAUUUGUGUUCCACAAGCAUUGCUAAUGCAUUAUUAGCUUAGCCAGUAAACAGUGUCUAUGAGAAUGAGGAAGGGUCAAGCCAUUUCUGGACCAAUGAUGAUAGUUACCAAGGUAUGAGAGAGAUGACGAAUAACACUUGUCUGAAGCUCAGAGGUCCAACCCAAAAGAUAGGUGGGUAACAGAGAUCCUUGAAGGACAAUGGCAUGUUUUUCUUUUGUGCUCUGUUCUGUACUCCUCAGAACCUGUACUCCUAGGGUGAUUUCUGCAUUUUCCGUGGUCAGCAGUGGAACAUUUGCAUCUCUGCAUUGAGCUUGUGGCAGUGUGGACCAUGAGAUUAGACAAUCAUCCAAGGGUCAAGGACUCCAUUUGCACUACACUGAGGAGGCCAACAAGACCAGCGUGAGUUACAGCAUUCUCCUUGUCUUGGUUUGAGUAUUUUAAGAUAGUGUUUAAACAGUGUAUAGUGUAGUUAGUAAUGACCAUUUGAAUACCAAUGAUUGAUAGGGGGACCACAUAUAAUUGUCCAUUUGUCAUUCAACUAUGUUAACUAAUAUGAGUAGUUACAUGAUGGACAUAAUUACUGAAAUUCCAUGUACAGAUUAGGAAUUACUAGACUCUCAUAUUUAACUUUUUGUGGGGGUGGGGGUUUCUAGUCAUAGUGUUUAUUAUAAUUAAGUAAUUAAUAGGGAUAGUAAAAUAAUUGAAGAAAAGGAGAACUAAUCUUGGUUGAUGAUGACCACCGGUGGCAUUUGAAUUAUACAUGAUGACUUCGAGUCUGAAACACCAAGAUUUAACAGAGAAGAUAAGUGGAUCCAUGACAAUUGAUAGCAGUGGUGUCAUUGUUUUGUCCUCUGGUUUGCUCUGCCUUCCUUAGAAUGGAAUUUCCUAAGGUAUCUAUUCACCUUCAAUGGCUUCCCGCCCAUCAGUUGCAUGUGAUGAUGAUGUGAGAUCUGCCCAAACUUCUCCUAGUUUUGAUGGUUUGUGGAAGGUCUUUGCUGACUGGAAGAGGCCUCCAUGGGCUAGGAACUCUGCUGAUGUCAUGCGUGGUGCUGGGAAGACCACUUGAAGGAAUGAGGUGAUUGAUGAAUCUGUCAUGGUCAUGGCCUCUGCACUUUCCCAAGAAGAAGCACAUGCUGAAUGAAGUUGAUCAGAACUAAACAUGAAGGCCUUUGCCCUCUGCAGAGAGAGAAGAUCAUGGAAUGUAAGCAUAUAGUUUCCAGUGUAUGCCAUUAGCUCACAGUUUCUAUGGGUUCGUCACAGAAGAUAACUGGUUAUCUACAAUGACGCUAAUCUUCCAAGAACCCAACUUAAUUCAGUCUAAUACAAAUGAAUUCAAGAACAAAACAGGUCUUUCCUUAAUUUUCAACAACUGAAUGGAACACCUGCUGCUUAGGGACUAGACUUGUGGCCAUGCAGUCUGACAGCGAGCUUGCUCGCAGUGAAGGCAUGGACCUACAUGCAUAUGGGCUGAUGAUGAGAGUUGAAUGCAUCUGAUGGGGAAUUCAUGAUCACGUUAAACAGCUGAAGUCCAUCGCAUGAAAGAGUCAGUGAGCAUCCGUGAUAACAAUGAGUUCAGGAAAGUUGAAAAAUCUACCUGUGGUGUUCCUGAGGGCUCGUAGUCAUUGAGCUUGCUCAGAGAAUGAAUAAAUAUCUCAAUCAAUAAAGAUAUGCAAGAAGAGGGAAAAUGUGCCCAGUAUGUGGACCAAUUUUAAAGCAAGAAGUAGUAAUUCAGUUCUGAAAUGUCUUAGUCCAUUUGAGUAGAAAUGCUAAGGGUUCCUUAGUAUUUAAUUCAUUAUGGGAAAAAAAAAGUUAAGCAAGUAGGUGAGGGUUAAUCAAACAAAUGUGUGCAGCAUGACAAUUGGUGCUGAGAUGGCUCUUGUUUCUUUGUAUUGCUUUGCACUCAGUACAGCGUACGCACACUGCUCCUCUCAUCAUGGAUUCUUCAGGAUGAAGGUCGCAACACUCACCGUAUGGCUGGGGCUGUGUAGAUCUCAGUGAGUAACAGACCAAGUUUCCUGCUUCUUCUUUCUAUAAUGGUGAUCCCUGUCUAUUUGCAAUUGGCAUUUUGCGUCAUAUAGUCAAAGACAACUACACAUGUUUUAUUGCUCAGGGAGUCCUGAGAAGCCACAGUCAGUCUGUUUGUAUAAAUGUCACCUUACACUAUAGGGUUUGACUUCACUCUGGAACUGAGGUCACAGACACACAGGUACAGGCAAAGGCUUGUUCUUCUUAAGAAAGGGAUAUAGAAGAAAGGGCUCACACAGCAGCCAUCCUGGAAUUGUACACAAAGGAAGAUUUGCUUUAACUAGGGCCAUGUAUUGUGCUCCACUGAAGGAGUCUUUAGACAAAUCUAGAAAACCAACUCCCCCUGUUGUGUUUGGCUGUUAAACCUUUUCUGUUGAUUUAAUUUAUUUUUUGACAAUGAGUGACUAAAUUAAUCAGGAAAAUCCAUGCCCAGAAAAUUUAAAUGAUGGAGAUUAUCCCCAUGAGAACACUGGCCAUGAAAAUUAAGAUUUAUGAUCAACUCAAUUUUUUUUCUCUUAAACCCAUUUAAACAAAAAAGAUUUAAUCUGUUGCUUUUGUGUAUAAGGAACCCUCCCACAAACAAGUACUCAUUCUUUUUAAUUUAUUUUAUACUUUGAUGAGUUCACAAAACUGUCCUUAUCAUUAUUUAGUAAACCAAUCUUUUAAAAAGUAAAUUGGAAAUAGACCAGGUAUGGGUCAAAAUUUUAAAUAUUUUGCGAUAAGUAGUUCUUAGACAUUGAUACCUAUAGAAGGAACUUAGUGCCUCCUGUGUUUGUUUUAAUAGAGCACAGUGCAUGUGGCCACAUCGUAUGUGCUAAGAAGGUAUAUUUAUACUCUCUCAUGGCACUUAUUUGAGCUAUUGUUACCUAGCUUGGGCACAAAUUCUAACCUGUUUGCAGGUUGGUUAGUCAGCUCUGGUUCUCAGUAUCUGAGAAGAGGAGAAUAUUUGAUAUAAAAUUAUCCAUUUCUGCUAAUAGUUGUUGUCUUCCCUCCUUGUCAGAACUUGUGUCAAAUAUGGAGUCCACAUAGGAACCGGACCCUGUAACUAUGGGAUUAGAUAAUACCAAUUUACAAACCAUGUAACAGGCCAAGUGUCUGUGUGGCCCAGAAAUAGGAAGUUGGCAUUCUCUGCUCAGUUUUAGGUUUUGGAUUCUUUAUGAGAUGUGGCAUUGCUAUGUGGUGAGGGCUCUCACAACCUCAGCUUACUGCCAGAAGCACAUGCAGUGUUUGUUGAGUGAGUCAGGGGAUGAACGAUGACCAAAAAUAGGAAUAAAUAGAACGAUGCCUGAACGUAAGAUCCUUUGAGGAGAAAUGAAGGAAUGAAGUCAUGAAAAGAUGGAGGUCAGUGUCCAGCGCAGGUCAAUAAUGCAUUAAUGACUAACUUAAAAAGCCAGGGAGUAUAGGGCAAGUCUGUGAGUGGAUGCAUGAGUAAGCAGGCCAGCAUGAUAAAAGUGAGUGAUAAAAGAUGAAGCUUGUGAGUGAAUGAAUGAAUGAAUGAAAUGAGUGAAUGAAAGACAAACACACUAGUGGGUCAGCCUGGGAGAAGUAAAUGUGCAUUCUUGAGUGCAUCAGCCACUUCGUGAAUUCCUGAAUGGGUUUAUGAAUGGAUGGGUAAGUAGGUCUCCUUUCUAAUAAAGGAGUAAUGAGUCAGCAUUUGGGUCUGUUAAUGAGAGAAGUCAUUGUUGGCUAGAUGAAUGAAUGAAUGAAUGAAUGAAUGAAUGAAUGAAUUACCUACUCAAGGGUGUGUGACAGGAUGGAAAAAUAAAAGGAAGAAAAUCACUAUUACAACUACAUUAAUAAUUGUGUAACUGAAAGAAAUGAUAAAUGAAUAAGUGAAUGGAAGGCCAAUAGGUGGAUGAAUGAGCGUCGCAUAAUUAAUGAAUAAAAGAAUUGAUUAGGUAGCAAACCCGUCAGCAAGUAUACAAUUAAAGAAUAAGUUGUGUACUGGCGAAUGAGUGGCUGAACUAGUGAAUGAGUUGAUGCAUGAAUGAGUGAGUCAGCUGCCUGGGCGUGAGGCAGUGAAUGAACUCACAGCUCUUCCUUCUCUGUUCCAAGGAGAGUGGCCACGCCCAGCUCCACACCAGUUGUAAAUACUUGAGCCAGAGCUCCCUACUUUCUCUAUCAUGGGCGUUUGUUUACAUGUCAGCACUAAACUAAAGAGUCUGGAGGGCCAGGAACUGGGUCAAAUUCUUCUGUUUAUCCCCACCCCCUGCCCAGCCUUGAGCCUGGUAGGCGCCCAGUAAAUUAUUGCUGAAUGAAUGAGCAAAUGGCUAAAAAUACAUGUGCUUUUGUGGAACCGGUAUGGCCUGGUGGCUGCUCUUUGGAGGAGUGUGCUAUGUGUCAGAUGGUCCAUGGCAUCCUCCCUGCAAGACCAGAUUCUUGCCAGGGCCGGGCUUCCCAUGCCAGAUAAUGAGACACGAUACUGGCAGUUCUUACUGCCCGGGACACUGGCCCAUCCUUGGGUAACUCUGGCUUGGCAUGGUAGAAUGGAAGCCCUGGGUCUUCCCGAAAGCUAGCCUAGCCUCUGCCAAAAUGGGAGAUUAAAAAUAACCUAGGCUUGUUUUUAUGCCUCUGCUGAGUGGGCGCAUGCCUUGCCUCUCCAAGCAAAUCAAAUUCCUUUGACUUCUAAUCGUGGGACUUUGAGUUUAAUGAGAAGCACUGGAUCCACAGUAUGCCUCAGCUAUAGGACAACACUACUUUCCCGAAGAAUUUGUGCGUUCCUUGGGAGCUUAUUGUAGGCUAUUGGUGGUUUUCUUGUGUGCAGUAUCACAUCUAGGAGAGGAGAUACCCUUAAAAAACUAAAAAUGACUGUUCUGUCCCCUCUCCACCCAUUGUGGUUAUAUUUAUUUGGUCAGUUCAGUUGUUUUCUGAAUUAUUUCUGAUUCAGUUUUUCUGAAUCUGAUUAUACCUAGAAGAUUGGAGAGGUCAACCAAGUUCUAUGAGGGACAGCACAUAAGGCAAGCCUGCCCAGUCGAAGCUCUGCAUGCCCUUCUGCCAGAGAACAGAAGAUUUAAAAAGUAACUUGGCAGCACUUUUUCGUAUAUGGGGUACUUGCCUAAGAUCCACCAUCCAUGAUCGCUUCCUUCUUCCCUUCCUUCCUUCCUCCCUUCUCUCUCUUCACAUAGAGGUUAUGUCUAGCAACUCCAUAUGCCUGACACUGUGUGUUCUUCCUUGCUGUGGUAGUUCCUGACCAUACACUCUAUCCCUCAUUCCUCGUUCACCGUCCUGCCUUCGGACUGAAUGAUGAUGUGGGAUAUGGUUCAGCCAUGAGGAUUCAGUUCUGACCAUCCACCCUCUUCACACCAAGUCAGGUAAUUUCUCCCUUUCCUGACACUCAAGUUUUGAUUCAUUUCAUUUGGAUUAUUCAGCAUCUGAGCAUGCUUUAGACCUCUAGGAGAAGAUCUCAAACUGUGUUUGUGGCAGUGACUCUUGAGUGUUGAGGCUUGGUAAGCAGCAAGAACUGUUGGCUAGACUCUAAAGCUUUUUCAUACAUACGUAGAAGAGAUGAGAGUUAAGUUCCCCCUCAUUGCCCAGAAUUUGUUGCUAAGCAAAGCAACUGUUCUUACAGUAUUUACCAGCGUCAAAGAAGCCAUAGUUUCUCUUGGCAUUACUAUUCUGUCAUUAUCACCACUGCCGCCAUCAUCACCAACACCAUUAUCACUCCCACAAUCACCUCCAUGAGCAUGACCAUCACCACCACCACUACAACCUUCAUGAACAUCAGCGCUACCACCAAUGCCAUCACCUUCCAUAGCACUGUCACUACCAUCAUGAAUACAACCACCACUACCACCAUGACCACUACUCUUAACUGCAAGAACAGAGGUACCACCCAUACAACCAUCACAAUAAUCAUAGCUACCAUAAUAUAAUCACCAACAGCACUAUCAGCACCUUCACAACCCCCAAAACGUAAAACAUGUUACCUCCAACAAUAACAACAUCGCCAUCACCACCAUCUGUCAUAUCAGGCCACCAUCACUAGCAGCAAGACUGUUCCGGGAUCCUCUUGUCCUGAGACACAUCACCCAAAUUCUUGAUUUUACUUAGCCUUGAAUUUGACACAUUCAGAUAUUCCACUUUGGCUAUGUGUGAUCGAUAGUACUUCAAGUAGCCCCUGGUAUCCAUGGAUGAGAUGCUUGGUCUUGAUGGCCAAGCAGAAGAAGUUGGUACAAAAUUUGAGCAUGGAAAUUGCUGGGGAAGGUACAGAUGAAUGAGGGCCAACGCACACACACUUGUAUGUCCAUCCUACGUUCAGAGUAUGUGUCUAGCUCAGGUCCAGUAUCCCCCAAGCAGAGAUGGUCCCUGCUCAGUGCCAGGACCUUCCAGCUCUACCCUGAUUUUUUUGCCUGUGCCUCGUUAGGAGAUAUGUAACCCUAAUCCUUGAAAUUGCCUGGCAUGAGUUUUAUUUCCUACUUAAAUAAAACUCCCUACCCAUGAAGUUUGGACAGGAUGUAGGCAAUUAGACUAGGGCUUGGAACCAAUUAUUUUGCAAAAGGCCUCUUUCAAAAUUUGAAACCCCAUGGUCACAGCCCAGAGCUGAGUUUGACUUGGGAAUUGGGAGAGUGUGUAUGCUGUGACCUCCUCCCAAAAGCUGGAUACAAGUCCUCCUGUCACUGAACCCAUAGACAACUUGCAAGGCCAACCUUGUGGUUUAGUUUUGCUUUUCUGGUGGUACUGGAAAGAGUUUGGUCCCCUCCCAUAGUUUUGUUUUCAAGAUGUUGGCAAAAGCCUCAGUCCUCCCCUAGAUCAUAGGAGUUUGGUCCUGAAAUCAUUGAACAGUGUUUGGGCAUGGAUGGGUAUGGAGUUCUGGCCCAGGCUGGGUGCCGUUUGGAGUGAGACCAGUGUGAACUGUGUCCCCGCAGCCUCACCAUUCCACAGGCAGGAAUGAUUAGGAGGUCCAGUGGUGUUUUCUUUCCUCAACCAGGAAGGUACCCUUGUGUAUCCUUGUAGCAGCACUAGAACUCAUCUGGAAGAUAGAAAUUGGUUUCAUUCUGUUCUUGUGCAGAAGUCUCUGGUGUGUGCUGUGCUGUGGUGAGCAUGCCUCACGCUGCUUGGGCAUGCUCUGUCUGGCAGACUGCUGGAAGCAGGCCUGAGUUCCCCACUUUACCAGACAGACGGGGUGCUUUCUCAUCUUUUCCGAGCCUUCAAGGCCCACCUGUGUGUGCUCAUGUAAGAAGUCUCCAUCUCCAGAUGGAGGGGAACAGGCUGGCCUCUCUGGCCCAGCUCCAUCCACCUGCCUCCCAAGUGUUUCUUUGACCUUAAUAAAGGGAGCCAUUUCUUUCUUUCCUCCAUCUGUGACAUGAUCUGAGGCUUGCCAUUGUGUAGCCUGGCCUCAGUUUUCCUAUCUGUAAAAGGGUCACCAUGGUAACAUCAGUUCUCUAUUAUCCUUUUAGUGUUAGAGGCAGACAAGAUUUGUUUUCCUGGCCUACACUUUGGUGCACACUGUCUUCCUUCCCAGCCUCCCAGGCCUGCCUGGUACCCUUGCUUAGAUGCGUUUUCAGUGCAGGACUUCUGGCUUCUCUUGGGGCUAUGUCUCCUUUCAUCCUCUUCUUGAGAACUUGGCUGUGUGGAGACAGGUGCCAGGUUGUGCUCUGAUCUCCCGGCACGGGAAGGCUCAGCAUUCCCAUUUGUACCUCCUGUCUCCUCUUCCUGAGUUAGCCUUUGAGCCAUCUUUUACACGGCUAAGGACAAGCUGGAGGAUAGGGCCUGACCCAGCUCUCCAUUCCUAAAGUCCCCUCUCUCAGAGCAUGAAGGGUUUCUCUGGGUCUACUGAGCAGACAGGUUUGGGAACCUGUUCCACUGGAUGUUGUUUUGUGACUUGCCCACUUUGUCUUGGAAGGUCCCCUGACACAGAACCUUCAGAGACUUGGUUACCUGAUCCAGCUUCCUGUGAAGAAAAAUGGCAGCGCUACAGUGCCUAUCUUACUGGGAAGACUUCUCAGCCAAUGUGGUGUUCCAAAGUUGGGGAAGAUGCCAGAACGAGACAGCUCUACCCUAGAUCACACUGGUAGGUUGCAGCCGACUCGCUUCUAACAGGUUAGAUACCCCCAUACAUGUCCAACAUGCUUUGGAGGCACGGUGACGGGCUUUCAUUCAGCCAACCCCUGCCACAGGACUGUGUGUUAUAUAGAACAUCCACUGUGUCAGAUGGUGCCUAGAUCUGUGCCAUUCACACACACACACACACACACACACACACACACACACCCUUGUAAUGAGGGACUUGUGAUCAGCAGCGUUCUAGCAGUAGAAAAGCCAGCCUGAAGUCGGCACACACAUUUGCCCAGUGAACUUUAGGAUAUGAAAUUUGUUCUUAACCCUUAACUCUACCCAGUUCUGUGCUCAGCAGUAGAGUUUUCUGUGGGGUUCCAGCUAGGACAGGGCAUCCCCACCUGAGGUUCAUGAGCUCUUUUUACAGGGCUUUCAUAUCAGAUACUUACAUUAUGAUUUAUAACAGGAGCAGAAUCACAGUUAUGAAGUAGCAUCAAAAAUAAUUUUACAGUUGGGGGUUACCCAACAUGAGGAACUAUAUUAAAGGUUCACAACACUAGGAAGGUUGAGAGCCAUUAGCCUAGGGGUUGGGACCUCACAGGUCCUGCCUGCUUCUUCCUUAUUCUGCAGGAUGUGGGAAACUCACUUCCCUUCCUACUAACUUUAUAAUGUGUCUGUUUUUAGAGUCUUACCUUUCCUGGAAACUGCCCAGACUCACCCCCAGAGGGGUAGGUUCCUUCUGACCACCCACCUACCUCUUGGAAGCAGAAUCUGAGGACCAUUCCUGAACCCCACCCAAUGAACUGCUCUUGUUGAAGUUGAGAGCUGCUAUUCCUGGGGUAUCUCCCGAGGCAUAAUUUCUGGGGUGCCCUGGUUCCCUUCAGUGAUCUCCUAAACCUGGAGAGAUAAGGCAUGCAAAUGGUCUGUGUUGGUGGGAAAUAUUUUCAGGCAAUUCUGUUGACUGUCAGAUUUUAAAGGGGUUUUGGUUGAUCUCCAGGGCCCACUGAACCAGACCCUUAAGGUUAAGGCAGAUCCUCCUGACAAGGCACCAGGCACUUUGGGUCUCCCUUUGUUUGCUUUUUGACCAGUGCUAAUUGAUACUUGAAGGAGAGGUCAUCCGUGUUGUCUUCUCUUUAUUUAUGAUGAAACAUACACGGGAAACCUCUUUUUUAGUGUCAAAUCCCACCCAGGAGGCACUCCCUGUCCCUGAUGAAGCCUUCAGGGAAGGGACCUGGACUCUGUGACAUGGACCAUGGGGGUGUGGCCUCAGGACUCGGCCCCGGAAGGAAAAUCAUUUGAAGAAGGGCCAGGGUCCCUGUGGUGGCUUUAGGCUGCUCCCUAUGGCUUUGGACUAUGAGGAGACUCUUGGUAUGUGAUAGCUUUUCAGCAAGGUCCUCCUCACAGUAGCUAUAAGGACGUGCCAGCAACAUGACUGAGGGGACAGUAGUGCCCACUGCUCUCGGGAUAGCUGUGUGGGUGGUAGACCAGUGACGUACACUUUAUUUAUGCUGUAGGUCACCCGUUUUACUACCCACUAGCACCCAGACCAUCUGUGGAUUGACCCUUGAUGCACAUGACAGCUAUGAAGAAGAUACUGGUGGGGUUGAGGCCAGUGUGAAACUAAAAUAUUUCUAGUGGGGUUAGCUUUUAGCUUUUAAGUAUAUUCUUUUCCUGAGAGAGAGAGAGAGAGAGAGAGAGAGAGAGAGAGAGAGAGAGAGAGAGAGAGAUUAGAGAGAGAGAUUGAGAUUGAUUUUGUGUGUAUGCAUGUGUGUGCAGGCCAGAGGUGUCAAGUAUCUUCUCUAACCACUUUCUAUCUUAUUUUUUUGAGACAGGGUUUCUUACUGAACCUGGAGCGCACCGAUUUACUGGCUGGCCAGUGGACCCCAGAGAUCAGCUUGUCUCUGCCUCUCUGGUUCUCGGAUGACAGGUAUGUACACAGAGCGUGUCCUUUCUACAUUUAACCCAGUUCCUCAUGCUUGUGUGGCAAGAGUCAUCUCUUCUCCUCAUCUCCUCUUCCUCUCUCUUUUAAUCCGUAGUACCACAUCCUGCCAUAGGUGGGUGUCAGGCUGACCACAGAUAGAUUAUGAGAAGGGCUGUUCUUAUCAGCAUCCACAGUGAAACUCUGUCCUAAUCUAUGCUGAUGUAGGACAUGUGAGGUACCUGCUAUGGGUCCAUUGAAUCCGUGGUUGGGCCUGAGAUGGUAUGUGUGAGUCAGUACCUGUGAACCUUAUGCCAACCUGGUUCUAUGAUACUUAAAAACCAUGUGUAAGCUUACCAUGGGUGUGACUGGCAUUUUAUGAUCCAUAUGUUUACAGUAAAGAAUACCAUCCUGGAGGAUCUCCUGAAUGUGAAGCUAUAACCCAAGCAGGAGCACAUUACUCCUGGUAGGUGAGUGACAGGUCUCUCUAGCCCAGCAUCAAGCCCACAUCUGUCAAUGAUGGCAUAGGCUUCAUUGUUCUUGCUCAUCUCCAUGUCUGUUUAAUUUUGCUUGUCUUCCAAGGAUUCAAAUCAUUGGCUGCUUCCCAGCACAAGUUCCUGCCUAGGACAUGUAUUUCAGAUGUGAUAUCUCCUUAGGGAAGGACACCAGAGUCCCCAUCAAUGGAAAAGGCAUGUCAAAGUGUUUUUGUCUGAAAGAAUAUAUUGUAUUUUCAUGUGUUUCUUUCUCUACUAAUGCUGAGUAUGUCUUCCAUACCUAGGAGGGCCUCCUGAUGUAUCCCUACCCUGGGGGUGAAGGUGGCUUCCAUGCCCCUCCCCCAAGCUCCUGGCAAGCGGUUCUUACAGCCAUGGCAGAGACACAGAAAGCAAGGGUCAUAAGUCGCAUUCAGGACAGCUGCCGGAUAAUGGAUGGACAUUGUAUCCCCAGACCCCUCACACCCUCAGAAUCCUAGAAUCUGCUGUUUCAGCCUGUUUUUGCUGCUUCUCAGUACUCUGUGAGCUGUUUGUUGUAUUUGUCACAAGUCACUUCUGGGCGUGGGGAGUGGUGGAAGGAAGUAUCCCUACAGGGGACCCUGGGGGGUUGUCACCUUAAUGGGGUGACCUGGGAAUCAGAAAGACACCAGGCAAUCACAGUUCAUUUAGGCAGCCCUGGAUUCUGCCACCCUAGUUCUUUAUCUUUUUCUUUCUUUCUUUUUUUUUCCCUCAGAUCCAGAAGAGGACCCUGGAUUUGAGGAAGGAGAUUGGAGUUUGGCACCAUCCCAUUUCCCCUGAGUGAUACUCCAGAAAGACUGGCAAAGAUGGUAGCCAGCAUCUCAGGAUCUUCAACUCCGAUGACCAAGUUCUUCAAACCAGGACUUCCUGGCAUCCUUAGGUAGAGUGGCUUUGGGCUGCGUUGCUAUGGCAGGGAUGAGUACUGAGCCAUUCCUCUCUCCUCAGGACCACCCCUCUGCCCUUCUCUCAGCCAAGUAUCUGCUUCACCCACCACCCCUCCUCCCCGCCCCUUAGCAUCCCUUCACACUCAGGCACACUGCUGGAACAACUCCCUCCUGCCCCUCAUCAUCCCUCCCUCCUGCCCCUCAGCCCCCCUCUGCCUGCCCCUCAGC
Mastomys coucha (southern multimammate mouse) is the source of this 30216-nucleotide long non-coding RNA. RefSeq lists it as uncharacterized. The record is from RefSeq and is a predicted model, not a curated record. The transcript has 11 exons. Lineage: Eukaryota; Metazoa; Chordata; Mammalia; Rodentia; Muridae.